GAGAGUUAAACAGUACGUGAAAUUGUUGAAAGGGAAACGAUUGAAGCCAGUCGUACCUUCGGGUAAUCAGCCUUUCGGGUGUGAUUCUGUGGAGUGUGAGGAGCUUAAACACCUUCAUGUUUUGCAUAUUCGUACUCUUGGGUGUACUUGCCCGUGUGGUUGGUUAACAUCAAUUUUGGUGGUCAUAAAAUGACUGGAGGAAUGUAGCUUCGAUCUUGUAUUGAAGUGUUAUAGCCUUCGGUAGAUGUGAUGAUCGAGAUUGAGGAUUGCAACGGAUACCCUUCGGGGCUACCUGUCUGGUCUCUGAUCGUUGCUCUGGUGCCGAAAGCUUGCUUACGGUUAUCAAAGUCGAUGGUCAAUAGGUUAGAACGGGUUAAAUUCGUUAAGGAUGUUGACGUAAUGGCUUUAAACGA
RNAcentral lists this ribosomal RNA (413 nucleotides) under uncultured Rhizophagus. RNAcentral's name for it is "partial 28S ribosomal RNA". The record is from RNAcentral. Lineage: Eukaryota; Fungi; Glomeromycota; Glomeromycetes; Glomerales; Glomeraceae.